Clupea harengus (Atlantic herring) is the source of this 363-nucleotide long non-coding RNA. The record is from Ensembl. Lineage: Eukaryota; Metazoa; Chordata; Actinopteri; Clupeiformes; Clupeidae.
AUUCUGAGGAUGGGUGGUGAAGUUGGCAUGGUAUUUGAGAUUUACGGAGGUACUGAGGGUGGGUGGUGAAGUUGGCAUGGUAUUUGAGAUUUACGGAGGUUCUGAGAAUGGGUGGUGAAGUUGGCAUGGUAUUUGAGAUUUACGGAGGUUCUGACGAUGGGUGGUGAAGUUGGCAUGGUAUUUGAGAUUUACGGAGGUUCUGACGAUGGGUGGUGAAACAGUGACAGAGAGCGAGUGAAAAGGAAGGAGUUACAAAGUUCAAGUUCAAGUUCAAGUUCAAGUUUAUUAUCAUUUACUCAUAAACAGCAUUUAUCAGUAAUGAAAUUCUUUGUGCUCAAUGUCCGUUCAACUUAGAGAAAAAAA